UCGCAAAAUCGUUCGAGAACAGUUCUCGUUUCAACUACUGGAUCCGUUGCUCGAUAUGUAUGGCGCCUCUUUCUUCGUUCCUAAUAUAUGUAUGCACGUGUGUAUGUACGUUCCUGAAUCGAGCAAUGCAAAUUUAAACACAUUGAAACGUAUGGAAAAACAACGUCGAGAACGCGAGUUUAAUUGAGAUUAACGAACGCACCUGGUGGCGAACCGAUUCAAGACUAAUUUGAGGAGAACAAAACGAUUAUACCGAUAUAAACGAUAACACAAAGUAUAGGUCGAGUACGUGUCUUAAUAUUUACAUUCGAGAAUACAAAUAUCAAACAUGAUUGAUUCCAUUUUCUGUUAAAGGGGUAAUUUACCUGAGCGGUAAACAGGUAUAAAUGACGUAUCGUGUUUGUUGAUUGUUAAACAAAUCGUUAAAAAAAAGAAAACAUCCAUUGAUAUGACUUUUUUUAAAAUUUGAGCGUGCUCGGUGAAAUUGAAUAAAUAUGGAAUGUGUUUUAAAUGUGUUGUUAUGCAUUGCGUACCAAAGAUGUAACAAAAGUCGAGUUAAUCGGUAUUUUUAAAUAAUCAGUUAAUUCUUAUGAUAUCGUGAAAUAAAUAAUAAUCAUCAUUUAAUCGCUGAUAUUCGACACCUUUCGUUUAAUCUGAAUACUACAAUGUAAACAAUCUUUAUAGCAACUUUAUUACUGGUUAUAAAACGUACGGAUUUCUCCCUACCAUGAUUGAUGAGCAUUGUAAACGUACAUAUUAUGCACCGUUUAAUUAGCAGUGAUUUUCUUUCAACUUGCCAUUUUGUCUUUUUCUCUCUUUCUUUUUUCUUUUUUUUUCUAUUUGACAACGACAUCGAUCACGUUUCUUGAAAUUUAUCUUAUUAGUGCGAUUUAUCUAUGUUAUCGCAGUAUUCUUGCAAAUGCGAAAGAUAGAGAUUUCCGGUGGAUUUUAAUAAUUUUAUUGAUUUGAUGCAUUACGCGUGUUAAAUUUCAACGCGAAUUCAAUGAAAACGAACUUAAAAGAUUAUAUACUAAAUUGAGAAAAAAAUAACGACUCAUUAGCUUAGAAACAUGGAUGGACAAUAAAAAUGUACGUGCUCGUUGGAAUUCUAACGAAAUAUUUAAUUCUAAUUUAUACGGAUUGUUACCUGUUGUUCUUUUCAAGGAAAAAAUACGUAAAAAAUUUAUUUUCCUAGUGGGAUUUUUCACAAGGAUAAAUAUUUAAGAUUCCAUCUUAAUAUGGAUACUUGCAAUUUAGAAUUUUAAUUGGCACGUAUUAGAACGAUAUCAUCGGAAAGUAUAAAAUUUUCAUAAAAUUUGAUCUUGAGUAUGAUACUUACCAUCGACCUUCAAUCGACUGUAGGUCGAGAGUCUUGUUUGUUGCGAGUAACAUUUGUCAUUGAUAAUAGAGAUUAUUAUUCCAAUAAAAAUCUCAUGUUAAGUGCCAUGAAAAUAUAUAUAGUAUUUUAAUAUAAA
This is a long non-coding RNA of Apis cerana (Asiatic honeybee), 1475 nucleotides long. RefSeq lists it as uncharacterized. Lineage: Eukaryota; Metazoa; Arthropoda; Insecta; Hymenoptera; Apidae. The record is from RefSeq and is a predicted model, not a curated record.